RNAcentral lists this ribosomal RNA (468 nucleotides) under uncultured bacterium. RNAcentral's name for it is "partial 16S ribosomal RNA". It matches the Rfam family "Bacterial small subunit ribosomal RNA", at positions 28 to 507 of the family's 1533-position model. The record is from RNAcentral.
GACGAACGCUGGCGGCGUGCUUAACACAUGCAAGUCGAACGGAAAGGCCCUGCUUUUGUGGGGUGCUCGAGUGGCGAACGGGUGAGUAACACGUGAGUAACCUGCCCUUGACUUUGGGAUAACUUCAGGAAACUGGGGCUACUACCGGAUAGGAGCUCCUGCUGCAUGGUGGGGGUUGGAAAGUUUCGGCGGGUGGGGAUGGACUCGCGGCUUAUCAGCUUGUUGGUAGGGUAGUGGCUUACCAAGGCUUUGACGGGUAGCCGGCCUGAGAGGGUGACCGGCCACAUUGGGACUGAGAUACGGCCCAGACUCCUACGGGAGGCAGCAGUGGGGAAUAUUGCACAAUGGGCGGAAGCCUGAUGCAGCAACGCCGCGUGCGGGAUGACGGCCUUCGGGUUGUAAACCGCUUUCGCCUGUGACGAAGCGUGAGUGACGGUAAUGGGUAAAGAAGCACCGGCUAACUACGUG